This 518-nucleotide ribosomal RNA is filed under the name uncultured Micromonas. Its description in RNAcentral is "bacterial SSU rRNA". It matches the Rfam family "Bacterial small subunit ribosomal RNA", at positions 75 to 628 of the family's 1533-position model. Lineage: Eukaryota; Viridiplantae; Chlorophyta; Mamiellophyceae; Mamiellales. The record is from RNAcentral.
AUUCUUCGGAAUGUGGAAGAGUGGCGAACGGGUGAGGAACACGUAAGAAUCUGCCCCUCGGUCGGGGACAACUUUUGGAAACGAAAGCUAAUACCCGAUACGCUGUGGAGUGAAAGAAUUUCGCCGAGGGAUGAUCUUGCGUCUGAUUAGCUAGUUGGUGCGGUAAUGGCGCACCAAGGCGACGAUCAGUAGCUGGUCUGAGAGGAUGAACAGCCACAUUGGAACUGAGACACGGUCCAAACUCCUACGGGAGGCAGCAGUGGGGAAUUUUCCGCAAUGGACGAAAGUCUGACGGAGCGACGCUGCGUGAAGGAUGACGGCCUGCGGGUUGUAAACUUCUUUUCUCGAAGAAGAAGCUCUGACGGUAUUCGAGGAAUAAGCAUCGGCUAACUCCGUGCCAGCAGCCGCGGUAAGACGGAGGAUGCAAGUGUUAUUCGGAAUGAUUGGGCGUAAAGCGUCUGUAGGCUGUAUAGAAAGUCUUUUGUUAAAUACCUCGGCUCAACCGAGAUCCAGCAAAG